AUAGCUCAGUGGCAGAGUACAUGCUUAGCAUGCAUGGGGUCUGGGGUUCAAUCCCCAU
RNAcentral lists this transfer RNA (58 nucleotides) under Camelus bactrianus (Bactrian camel). It matches the Rfam family "tRNA", at positions 7 to 64 of the family's 71-position model. From Rfam's summary of the family: Transfer RNA (tRNA) molecules are approximately 80 nucleotides in length. Their secondary structure includes four short double-helical elements and three loops (D, anti-codon, and T loops). The record is from Rfam by way of RNAcentral. Lineage: Eukaryota; Metazoa; Chordata; Mammalia; Artiodactyla; Camelidae. RNAcentral also lists the same sequence under 2 other names.